RNAcentral lists this ribosomal RNA (466 nucleotides) under uncultured ammonia-oxidizing beta proteobacterium. RNAcentral's name for it is "bacterial SSU rRNA". It matches the Rfam family "Bacterial small subunit ribosomal RNA", at positions 198 to 645 of the family's 1533-position model. The record is from RNAcentral. Lineage: Bacteria; Pseudomonadati; Pseudomonadota; Betaproteobacteria.
GGAGGAAAGUAGGGGAUCGUAAGACCUUGCGCUUUUGGAGUGGCCGAUGCCUGAUUAGCUAGUUGGUGGGGUAAGAGCCUACCAAGGCGACGAUCAGUAGUUGGUCUGAGAGGACGACCAGCCACACUGGGACUGAGACACGGCCCAGACUCCUACGGGAGGCAGCAGUGGGGAAUUUUGAACAAUGGGCGAAAGCCUGAUCCAGCAAUGCCGCGUGAGUGAAGAAGGCCUUCGGGUUGUAAAGCUCUUUCAGUCGAGAAGAAAAGGUUGCGACUAAUAAUCGCAACUUAUGACGGUAUCGACAGAAGAAGCACCGGCUAACUACGUGCCAGCAGCCGCGGUAAUACGUAGGGUGCGAGCGUUAAUCGGAAUUACUGGGCGUAAAGGGUGCGCAGGCGGCUCUGUAAGUCAGAUGUGAAAUCCCCGGGCUUAACCUGGGAAUUGCGUUUGAAACUACAAAGCUAGA